GUUGCCCAACUUCACAUGUUGACUGGCUGGUCACAGAUUGUUGAAGUUGCUGUAUCAAGAAGGAUGUCAUUAUUCGAGGACUGUUAUCAGCUAUUGUUUGAGAGAAGCAUACCAAGUUCUCAGUGACCCUACACAGCGCCAAGCUUAUGACUCGCAUGGGAAAGACAGCAUCUCAAUGGAGGGGAUUAUUGAUCCUGCAACAAUUUUUGCAAUUCUGUUUGGUAGUGAGCUUUUUGAGGAAUAUAUUGGUCAGCUGGCAAUGGCAUCAAUGGCUUCACUUGAUAAUUUUGGUUAAGAUGAGCAGAUUGAUGCAAGAAAACUGCAAGAGAGAAUGCAGGCUGUUCAAAAGGAUCGGGAAGAAAAACUUGCAGAGACACUGAAAAACCGGCUACACAUCUAUGUGCAAGGAAAUAAGGCAGAAUUCAUCCAGCAUGCUGAAGCAGAGGUGUCCAAACUUAGAAAUGCAGG
Zea mays is the source of this 468-nucleotide long non-coding RNA. RefSeq lists it as uncharacterized. Lineage: Eukaryota; Viridiplantae; Streptophyta; Magnoliopsida; Poales; Poaceae. The transcript is spliced from 5 exons. The record is from RefSeq and is a predicted model, not a curated record.